RNAcentral lists this transfer RNA (71 nucleotides) under bacterium. RNAcentral describes it as "tRNA-Pro". It matches the Rfam family "tRNA". Rfam says of the family: Transfer RNA (tRNA) molecules are approximately 80 nucleotides in length. The record is from RNAcentral.
CGGGCUGUAGUAUAGCGGUAGUAUACACCCAUGGGGUGGGUGCGGUCCGGGUUCAACUCCCGGCAGCCCGA